Molecule: microRNA precursor, 81 nt
Filed under: Nannospalax galili (Upper Galilee mountains blind mole rat)
Lineage: Eukaryota; Metazoa; Chordata; Mammalia; Rodentia; Spalacidae
Description: miRNA (ENSNGAG00000002816.1)
Source: RNAcentral
AGUUACAGAUAGUUGUUAGCAGCUAUGUGGAUGCUGGGAAUCAAACCCAGGUCCUCUGUAAGAGCUUUUAAAUGCUGAGCC